Molecule: ribosomal RNA, 547 nt
Filed under: uncultured Glomeromycotina
Lineage: Eukaryota; Fungi; Glomeromycota
Description: SSU rRNA
Rfam family: Eukaryotic small subunit ribosomal RNA
Source: RNAcentral
UUGGAGGGCAAGUCUGGUGCCAGCAGCCGCGGUAAUUCCAGCUCCAAUAGCGUAUAUUAAAGUUGUUGCAGUUAAAAAGCUCGUAGUUGAAUUUCGGGGUUCUUCCGUUGGUCAGGCUAACAAGUCUGUACUAACGUGUAGAAUUCCUACCUUCUGGGGAACCAUCAUGUUAUUAAUUUAGCGUGGUGGGAAACCAGGACCUUUACCUUGAAAAAAUUAGAGUGUUCAAAGCAGGCUUACGUCUGAAUACAUUAGCAUGGAAUAAUGAAAUAGGACGGUGGUCCUGUUUUGUUGGUUUCUGAAUCACCGUAAUGAUUAAUAGGGAUAGUUGGGGGCAUUAGUAUUCAAUUGUCAGAGGUGAAAUUCUUGGAUUUAUUGAAGACUAACUUCUGCGAAAGCAUUUGCCAAGGAUGUUUUCAUUAAUCAAGAACGAAAGUUAGGGGAUCGAAGACGAUCAGAUACCGUCGUAGUCUUAACCAUAAACUAUGCCGACUAGGGAUCGGACGAUGUUAAAUUUUAUUGACUCGUUCGGCGCCUUACGGGAAAC